UCCCGUGUAAUCCGGCAGUAAGAUUUGAUAUAUAAACGAAUCAAACCAAAUUUACUAUACCGUUUCGAUCCGAUCCGUUUGCAACCAGCAGCCCUACCAAUGGAAUGUUUCUAUUUUCGAUGGAGGUUUUUCUAUCGACAUUUAAGAAAUUUAGAGCAUUCCAAUCAAUCAAAUGGGUUCCGAAAUCCGAACAUGACUCCAGCUCCAGGAAUUGAACUUCUCUUCAUUUCAUAACUACCCGCGCACCGCUAAGAAAAUGUUGCCAAUGCAUUAAAUUCUUGAUGAAUUCGAGCUUUUCUGGGCAACGGCUCGAGGCCGAACAUGGGCGAGGGGUUGCAAUAAAGAUAUUCCAGGCCAAGAUGACACUCGAAUGCUUCUUUUUUUCAUUUAUUUUGUUUACCUUACUUCUCUUCUCCUCUCAAGUGGGGAGGGAAGACAACACAGCAAGAGAGGCAAGAUUUCUCUCUACGUCUAUGGUUCCUGGUUUCCUCAUUUCCUGGAUAUUCGAUCUCUCUCUCUUUCUCUCUCCCCGUCAUCAUAUUCUUGUCGAGAUAUCCGAUUAGACAGGGUUUUAAAUUGGAUAUGAUUUUCUGUAUUUCAAUCAAUUUUCUCGUCAGUGGGAGUAUCUUCUUUCAGGACGAUAGUGUGAUCAGAAUCGAGAAGUUCUGCUAACAGCAGUAACUUCAAGUUAGUCUACAGUCCAUCGUGGCAGGAUCAUAUGGAGUACCUUCACAACACUCUAACUCUUCUAUGUAAGCACCAGCUUUAUGCGAAAACCAGCAAGUGCUCUUUCGGUCAGACCCAUUUCCAGUACUUAGGCCACAUCAUAGAGGGCGGAAGAGUCUAUACAGACCCAGAAGAAAAAGUCAAGUGCAUGGUUAACUAGGCCGGGGCCCACAUCUCUGAAGUCCUUACAUGGGUUUUUGGAUCUGAUUGGCCUACUACAGGCGGUUUAUUCAGGGAUAUGGCACCCUUGCAGCACCUUUAACACAACCAUUGAAGAAGAAUACGUUUGAGUGGAACCCCCAAGUUGAGCAAGCGUUUCAGUCCCUUGAACAGGUCAUGGUGUGGGUGCUGUAUUGAUGCAAGGAGGUCAGCUGGUCGCUUAUUUCAGCAAGGCUUUGUCACAGCAGGCCCAGUCCAAGUCCAAUUAUGAAAAAGAGUUGAUGGCUACUGUGCUUGCCAUCCAAAAGUGGCGGGCUUUACUUGUUGGGCUGAAGGUUCACAGUCAGGACAGACCACGGAAGCAUCCGACAUCUGUUGGAUCAGCGUAUUCUCAACCUGGAAUAGCAGCGAUGGGCUUACAAACUACUGGGGUAUGAUUUCCAAUAUAGAGUAUAAACCGGAUUCAGCUAACUCAGUGGCUAACACCCUGUCCCGAGGUGCGGAAUUAUUGGGUCUCUCCCAACCUACUUAUCCUCUGCUAUAUCAGAUAAAGGCAGGGGCUCAUCGAGACCCAAUUCUGUCACAGAUCCGCUCCAAGUGGGAACUAUAUCCAGCUUCAGUGCCUGGGUAUACCAUAUGGAUUCUACUCUAUUUUACAAGAGGAGGUUAGUUGUGGCAUCACCCUAUGUUCAUUAUGGGGAUUUGCUACGUAUUUUCCAUGACUCUGCAUUAGGGGGUCAUUCCGGAGUAUUGCAUACCUAGAAGAGGCUGUCCAAUCAUUAUUAUUGGAGAGGAAUGAAGUCCAUGGUCCAAUAGUAUGUGGCCCAAUGCUCCAUCUGCCAGCAACAAAAACAUAGUACUCAACUUCCUGCAGGCCUGUUACAACUUCUCCCCAUACCGGACAGGGUUUGGAACGAAAUAACCAUGGAUUUUAUCACUGGGCUACCUAAGUUUCAAGGGAAAUCUGUUAUACCAGUUGAGGUGGACAGAUUGAGCAAGUAUGCCCAUUUUGUAGCUCUCCCACAUCCGUACACAGCAUGAUGGUGGCCAGAGCCUAUGUUCAGGAGGUAGCCAAGCUACAUGGCACCCCCAACUCUAUACUCACUGAUAGGGACCCAUUGUUCAUGAGUCAUUUCUGGGAAGCUUACUUCCAAGCUCAAGGGGUUUGAAUGUUGCACGCAACUAGUUACCAUAUUCAAACUGAUGGACAGUCUGAAGUGGUCAACCGCUGUCUGGAAACCUAUUUACGGUGUUUCAUAGGUGACAGGCCUGAAUAGUGGACUACAUGGCUCCCAUGGGCUGAAUUCUGGUAUAACACCUCCUUCCAGGUAUCGGCAGGUACUACUCCAUUUAAAAUCCUUUAUGGGCGCGGUCCUCCCAUUGUGUUACCCUAUGAUAAGGGAUCUAUUGUUGUAGCUGAAGUAGAAGAAUAGCUCUCCACUAGAGACAAGGUGCUCAAGGACCUGAAGUUAUACCUGCAGGAAGCCCAACAUCGCAUGAAGCUAUCCUAUGACGAAAAAAAACAGAGAGAAUUGGAGUUUCAGGUUGGAGCCCUUGUUUACCUUAAGCUUCAGCCAUAUAGACAAAUUUCUGUGGCAUCUCAACCCCAGCAGAAACUAGCACCAUGCUACUUUGGACCAUUUAAGGUAGCUGAGAGGGUGGACAGGUGGCCUAUAGGUUGGAUCUACCGGUUGGUUCCAAAUUGCACCCAGUGUUCCAUGUGAGUUUGCUGAAACCAUGCCUAUCCCCUUCAUCCAGAGUUGACAGUUCUCUACCUCAGUUCUCAAACGAAGGGUCUCUCUUGCUGGAACCCCAGUCUGUGCAUGGCUUCAAAUGGGUGACACCUGGUUUUAAAGAAGGUCCAACAAGCUCUGGUUAAGUGGAAGAACCUUCCUGUUGAAGAUCCAACAUGGGAGGACAUCUCAAGACUGCAGCUACAAUUCCCUGACUUCAACCUUGAGGACAAGGUUGAUUCUGAAGCGGGUGGGGUUGAUAGGAUCCUGGACCAGCACAACAGUAUGCAAACAACAACCAAAGCCCAGGCCCAGCAGCCUCCAUGUCUGAUCACCGAAGGCAGCAACUCAGGAAGAGUAUUCCGUGUAGUCCAGCCCAUCAAGUUCGUCUACACCAGGAGGCCGCAUCAGCAUAACUAACUCGACAGUCCCAUGUGCAUGGAGGUAGCUUGACAGUAACCUGUUUUGAUUCAAUAUAAAUAGCAUGAAAAGCCCUAUGAAUGCAUGGAAAAUAUCCGAAUCACUUUUUCUUCUUCAACCUCUCUUCUUCUUCUUCUUCUCUCUACUAUUCCAUUUCAGGAGGAAGAGCUCCCUCGAAGAAGCUCAAUAGAAGUGUUCUUAUCAGCUUCCUUCCGUUCGUAAAGUAUUCCAAGAGAGCAAAAAAAGCAUCCUUUGGCAUUCUUCUACAUUCCACCACAUAUCUUCUCCCUGAUUCUACUAGUCUCUCCUUCCAAUAAGUCUGUUUACCCUUGGAAGCUGCCUCAGACACAAACGUACUGCCCCGUUUGGUUGGAAAAAGAUCUAGCCGCCAAAAGAUGUCUCCCCGAAAAGACGUGUGAAGCCCGUUUUGAGCUAUUUUCGGGAAGCUCUAAAUGGAGCUUUUCAUAUUUUUUCUUUGCAUCUUUGCGUGGGAAGACGCACCUUAACCAAACGGACUUCAAGCUGCUAAGAUCUUAAUGCAAAAGUUCACAUUUUCCUUUGGCUGGCAGGUCUGUGGGAAGAUCUUUCAAAAAGGACUUGCCAAACAACACCGUAGUAAGCCACUUUACCGUCUCUAUACCUUCUACCAUGACUAUUGCCUUCUUAGCUUCCCUUAUCUUAACACUGCAAGAACCUUUCAUCCUUAAUUCUUUGAACAGAAAUUCCUUUGCUUCUAUCUUCAAAUUUUUUCUACAUCUCUUAGUCUCCUUGAAGCUUCAGAUUGGUGGAUGCUACUAGUGGAGCUCAUUGGUCCCCCUCUAAAGGCCUCCAUGAACUUCUCAGCUCCUACACUUCCUUGGUU
This is a long non-coding RNA of Nelumbo nucifera (sacred lotus), 3900 nucleotides long. RefSeq lists it as uncharacterized. The record is from RefSeq and is a predicted model, not a curated record. Lineage: Eukaryota; Viridiplantae; Streptophyta; Magnoliopsida; Proteales; Nelumbonaceae.